UAAAGAAAACCAUGUAUACAAGGGAUUAAAAUAACACUAGUCAAGCACAUUUCUAAACUUUCAUUACAUUACAUUCAAUACUUUACAUUACAUUUGAACCAUGUCCACAGCUAUUCUAUUACAUAAACUUCUCUUACUCUUCUGACUUCUCUAUCUACACUGUACCUGCAAGACUGGGGUUAGGGGAGAGGGGGUGAGCUAAAAAGCCCAGUGAGCAGAAAUUAAAAACAUUUACUUUAGUUCCUCCAUUUUUAGGUAUAUUAUUAUUCAUUUUAUUAUUAUUAUUUUAGUUCCUCCAUUUUUAGGUAUAUUAUUAUUCAUUUUAUUUUAUUAUUUUAUUUCUUUUUCUUAUUCAUGCUUUCAUGAAAUGCAACACAUCACAGCUAAUCACAUAAAGGAUGGUAUUGUCACCAUUAGUCCUCAACAUCUCCAAAUGCCAGGGGCGUAGAAUGGGCCUCACUGGUCUUUCUCUUACAUAACAUAACAUAACAUUCUAAAGUGCCAGGGGCGUAGAAUGGGCCUCGCUGGUCUUCCAUAACGUAUCAUCAUAACAUAACAUCAGAGGACUAUGGAUCACCCAACAACCAUCCACAUCAACAUCAAAUUAUGCAAUGCAGCAUAUUCGUGAAUUCUAAUGCAAACAUCCUGAAAUAUUGCAUGGCAUAAUGAUGCAUGGGCAAUGCUUUAUGAUUCAUUCAUUUAUUUAUUUACUUUACUUUAAAACUUAAGGAGUUGUUCCACUCACCUGGUGACUGAAGCUUGACAACGUACUCUGAACGACUAUCUCACAACCGGGGGUCUCGGUUCCUCGGGUCCGAACCUACACAGGUGGACUCAAAUGAGGCACCAAACAACUAGAACAUAACUCUAAACAUACCCCCAAAAACCUCCUAAAAACACCUCAAAACAUCCCUAGAAAUCAUGCAAGAAAAGGCUGGGAAGGGCACUUUCGGCGGCACCUUCGGCGGCCGAAAGUCCCAGACAGAGACGAAACUCAUGCAUGUUCGGCGGCACCUUCGGCGGCCGAAAGUCUCGGACAGAGCCGAAACUCCAACUUUCGGAGGCAAGCUUCGGCAGCCUAAAGCUGCCUCUCAGCCAUGUUCAGCGGCCGAAACUCCCUUCGGCUUCCGAACCUGGUUUCUGCCAAAGGGCAGAAACUUGGCUCCUCUUGCCUCCAAGUUUCCCAAACUUCCUAAUCAUGCAUAAAACUCUUCUACAACACUCAUACACAAGCAUACAAGCUCCUAGGGGCCUCAAACUAACUUAAACCCCAACUACAACACACAAGCAAGCCACAUUGUUCACAAAUCACNN
Molecule: long non-coding RNA, 1314 nt
Filed under: Manihot esculenta (cassava)
Lineage: Eukaryota; Viridiplantae; Streptophyta; Magnoliopsida; Malpighiales; Euphorbiaceae
Description: long non-coding RNA (MESC_LNC008828)
Source: RNAcentral